Non-coding RNA from Sus scrofa (pig), 3534 nucleotides. The record is from RefSeq and is a predicted model, not a curated record. Lineage: Eukaryota; Metazoa; Chordata; Mammalia; Artiodactyla; Suidae.
GUUGAGCUUGGGGCACGAGAGCAAGAAGGCUCGAGAGGAGGCAGCCGUUGUCUUCAACGCACAAAGGCGGUGCUGGCGUUCGGCAGCGACGCCGAGGGUAACCCGAUUCUGGGUCGGGGGCAGGGAUGCCUGGGUCCCGACCUGGUCCUCCGCUCCCCGCCCCUCUCAGCCCUCAGACUCCGAUGGCGGCGGCCGCGCGGAGGGUCCCGGUUCAGGUAAACGCUCGUCCUCUAGACGCUCAGCCCCUCGGACACUCAAGGGCCCGCUGACCGUCCCCUGCUCAAGCACCUGGGCCCAGGUCUGUAGGAGCAUGUGGGUGGGGGUCCCCAUUUCUGCCAGCGAGUGUGAUGGGGUGUGGCAGGGGCUUACAGGCCGAGGGACCGGCAAAAUCAAAGCCUUGGGGCAGUUACUCCACUCGGAGUCUUACCUCGAGGUCUGUCUCAGCUGCGCACAGAGCCGCUUCUGAGGGGACGAGACACACGUGAAAAGGCAGCGCGAGCAGCGGGGACCUUCGUUCUGAGGCUGCUGGUGGCCGCGAAGGGUUGUGACUAAACGGAGGGCUCAACCUAUGUUUCAGUUUUCCAAAGGCUUCUCAGGGAAAAACAGACUGGGAUGGGGGUGAUGAAAGGUCUCCCUAUAGGAAGUCAGUACGACAGACUAAUAGUUCGGGGGCGGGGGGCUGGGCUUUUGCUGGUGGUUAGAGACGGGGAGGAAUGAUCAACUCUCCAAUGGGUUUUAAAAACUCAACAGACAGGAUUUCUUACCGCACCAGACGUCGCUCUGAAAAAGUAGGGAUUUUUGGUUUGCACUUUUGCUUCUUGUUUCCUGAACACCUGCAAGAGUGGAGCUGGGGGAUUCAGUGCAGGGAGCCCGUUUCGGGGACUAGAUUUUGUACAUGGUAACCCUGAGGUGUCCCAAGUGUCACGUGACCUAUUGGGUUCUGGGGAGGGAUCUGGGCUGAAUAUACCCAGGGGAUGGUGAGUGGUGGCCUGGCCCAGAGCAAGUCCUGGGGCUCAUAUUUAGGAGGGAGAAUCUUUAUGUUGUUCUCUCAGAUAAACUUGGAGGGUGGGAUUGCCUCCAAAGGGGCGUAUUCCUGUGCUGUGAAGUGGUUCUGGCUGGAGUGUGGAGGAAUGGAGGCUUAUAGGGUUUAAGAAUCCAGGACUCUGAUUCAGUCGUGCAGAUUUGCCACUCCAGGCUCAGCGGGGACUCAUUUCCACUCCUGUUAGAGAAAAAGGGACAAGUGACCUUUGAGGACGUGGCUGUCUGCUUCUCACAGGAGGAGUGGGGGCUCCUUGAUGAAACCCAGAGGCUCCUGUACCGCAGUGUGAUGCUGGAGACCUUCUCACUGAUGGCCUCUCUGGGACUCACAUCUUCCAGGACGCAUGACAUUUCUCAGCUGGAGCGGUGGGGAGAGCCCUUUCUGUCUGCCAGUGGAGCCAUGCGUGCAACCAGGCCAACAGGUUGUUGGCAUGGAGUGCAGGCUGAGGAGGCCCCAUCCAAGCAGAGUGUUUACGCAGGAGUGCUCAGAGCAAAGCUUCACCAACACCAGCAGCUGAGCUCUAGAGAGAAACCUGUAAGAGGAGAAGAGGGUGGGAAGCACUCCCCAACGGGCUCUGGUCUCCUCAGGCAUCAAGUGGCUCAGAGCAGAGGGGAGCCACACAGGAGCACUGAAAGCACAGAGGAUUUUCACCCAGGAAAAAGGCAUUACAGAUGCAGUGAAUGUGGGAAAGCCUUUGGUCAGAAAUACUUACUUGUUCAGCACCAAAGACUACACACUGGAGAAAAGCCUUAUGAAUGCAGUGAAUGUGGGAAAUUAUUUAGCCAUAAAUCCAACCUUUUUAUACACCAAAUAGUGCACACUGGUGAAAGGCCUUAUGGGUGUAAUGAAUGUGGAAAAUCCUUUAGUCGCAAUGCUGACCUCAUACAACACCGGAGAGUUCACACUGGAGAAAAGCCUUUUACAUGCAGUGAAUGUGGAAAAGCCUUCAGGCAUAAUUCCACACUAGUCCAGCAUCACAGAAUCCACACUGGAGUAAGGCCUUAUGAGUGCAGUGAAUGUGGAAAAUUCUUUAGCUUUAACUCAAGCCUCAUGAAACAUCAGAGAGUUCACACUGGAGAAAGACCUUACAAAUGCAGUGAAUGUGGGAAGUUCUAUAGCCACAAGUCAAGCCUUAUUAAUCACUGGCGAAUUCACACUGGGGAAAGACCUUAUGAGUGCAGUGAAUGUGGAAAAUUUUUUAGCCAAAGCUCUAGUCUCAUGCAGCACCGAAAAGUUCACACUGGAGAAAAGCCUUUUAAAUGCGAUGAAUGUGGAAGAUUGUUUAGUGAGAAUUCUAGCCUCGUUAAACACCAGAGGGUUCACACUGGAGCCAGACCUUACGAGUGCAGGGAAUGUGGGAAAUUCUUCCGCCAUAGCUCCAGCCUUGUCAAACAUCGGAGGAUUCACACUGGAGAAAUGCCUUAUGAGUGUAGCAACUGUGGGAAAUCAUUUAGCCAGCGCUUCAACCUCAUUCAACACCAGAAAAUUCACAGUGGAGAACAAUCUUGAAUGUAACUAAUGUGGAAAAGCCUUUAACCAAAGGUCUGUGCCAGUUCAGCAACAGAAACUUCACAACCCAGACAAGCCUUAUGAAUACAGGAUGUGAAGAAAGGUUUCAGCCAAAGGCUUAACCCUGUUUGGCACCAGUAAGUUCAGACUGGAGAAAGGCCUCAAGAGUACAGGGCAUGUCUCUGUCAUACCAUAAGCUUACAGAAGCUUGAAGAGUAGCAUUUAAUGAGUGAGCCAACAAUUGACUGUCACUCAUCCUGACACACACUGGAGCAGGAUGAGAACUGCUGACAUACUGCCCCUCCUGAGAGGCUAGUCCACUGCCUGCCAUCUCAGAGAGAGGGAGCCCUGUAACCUUGGCUGCAUCAGUCCAGAAUGGAGUUUCCAUCUCUUGAGUUUGGAGCAAGGGGAGGGGAGGAUGUGUGGUCUUGGUUCAGAUGUGACUGUCUCUUGCUGUUCUUACUGGAAUAUUAGGUUUUCUUAAAUAAACGUUUCUUCAUUUGCUGUUAUCCUUAGGAUCAUUUCCAGAGGCAUUAAAUGGUGUUUUUAUGAUUUUCACCAGUUUCACUGGGAAGCAGGCCUGCAAAGUUCCUCACACUGUCGUGCUGGAAGUUGAUCCAAACAUUUAACUUCUUCAGAACUGGCCACUCUGUGUCUUAAAUGGAUAUGCCAUUUCGCAUUUCUUCCUGGAGUGUAUUAGAUUUCCAGUUUCUUCAUUCUUGCUGACUUUUGUAUGUAAGACAUUGGCCAUUCAUUUUAGCCAUUCUAGUAGAUGUGUAGUAGGAUUUUAUUAUGGUUUUAAUUUGCAUUUCCCUAAAGACUCAGUGUUGAGUUUUUCUCCCUGUGUGUUUGCCAUUCAUAUAUCUUCUUUAGUGAAUUAUUUGUUCAAAGUUUUUUGCCUACUAUUAAAAUAAUUGUCCUGCAAUUUAAUAUAUUGUGGAUACAAGUUACUCAUUGAUAAAUGCUUAACCAAUAUUUCCUCACCA